Molecule: ribosomal RNA, 468 nt
Filed under: uncultured bacterium
Lineage: Bacteria
Description: partial 16S ribosomal RNA
Rfam family: Bacterial small subunit ribosomal RNA
Source: RNAcentral
GACGAACGCUGGCGGCGUGCUUAACACAUGCAAGUCGAACGGUGAAGCUCCAGCUUGCUGGAGUGGAUCAGUGGCGAACGGGUGAGUAACACGUGAGCAACCUGCCCCUGACUCUGGAAUAAGCGCUGGAAACGGCGUCUAAUACUGGAUACGAGAAGGGUCCGCAUGGGCACUUUCUGGAAAGUUUUUCGGUUGGGGAUGGGCUCGCGGCCUAUCAGCUUGUUGGUGAGGUAAUGGCUCACCAAGGCGACGACGGGUAGCCGGCCUGAGAGGGCGACCGGCCACACUGGGACUGAGACACGGCCCAAACUCCUACGGGAGGCAGCAGUGGGGAAUAUUGCACAAUGGGCGAAAGCCUGAUGCAGCGACGCCGCGUGAGGGAUGACGGCCUUCGGGUUGUAAACCUCUUUCAGCAGGGAAGAAGCGAAAGUGACGGUACCUGCAGAAGAAGCACCGGCUAACUACGUG